UACGGGGGGGGCAAGCGUUGUUCGGAAUUACUGGGCGUAAAGGGCUCGUAGGUGGCCAACUAAGUCAGACGUGAAAUCCCUCAGCUUAACUGGGGAACUGCGUCUGAUACUGGAUGGCUUGAGAUUGGGAGGGGGAUGCGGAAUUCCAGGUGUAGCGGUGAAAUGCGUAGAUAUCUGGAGGAACACCGGUGGCGAGGGCGGCAUCCUGGACCGACACUGACGCUGAGGCGCGAAAGCGUGGGGAGCAAACAGG
RNAcentral lists this ribosomal RNA (253 nucleotides) under uncultured bacterium. RNAcentral's name for it is "partial 16S ribosomal RNA". It matches the Rfam family "Bacterial small subunit ribosomal RNA", at positions 524 to 776 of the family's 1533-position model. The record is from RNAcentral.